RNAcentral lists this ribosomal RNA (323 nucleotides) under uncultured Chloroflexota bacterium. Its description in RNAcentral is "bacterial SSU rRNA". It matches the Rfam family "Bacterial small subunit ribosomal RNA", at positions 28 to 351 of the family's 1533-position model. The record is from RNAcentral. Lineage: Bacteria; Bacillati; Chloroflexota.
GAUGAACGUUGGCGGCGUGCCUAAUACAUGCAAGUCGAACGUGAGCUCCGGUUUCGACUGGGGUGAAAGUGGCGAACGGGUGAGGAACACAUGGCCGACCUGCCCCUCAGAGGGGGAUAACCACUGGAAACGGUGGCUAAUACCCCAUACGCUCGCACUGGUUAGAGGCGGUGUGAGGAAAGCAUUGUGCUGAGGGAGGGGGCUGUGGCCCAUCAGCUAGUUGGUAGGGUAACGGCCUACCAAGGCGAUGACGGGUAGGGGGCCUGAGAGGGUGACCCCCCACACGGGCACUGAGACACGGGCCCGACUCCUACGGGAGGCUG